GUGCCAGCAGCCGCGGUAAUACAUGUGGGGCAAGCGUUGUUCGGAAUUACUGGGCAUAAAGGGUGCGUAGGUGGUUUGUUAAGUCAGGGGUGAAAUCCCGCGGCCCAACCGUGGAACUGCCUUUGAUACUGGCGAACUUGAGUGCGUGAGGGGUAGGGGGAACGAGCAGUGUAGCGGUGAAAUGCGUAGAUAUUGCUCGGAAGGCCAGAGCCGAAGGGGCCCUACUGGUGCGCAACUGACACUGAGGCACGAAAGCGUGGGGAGCAAACAGGAUUAGAUACCCUGGUAGUCC
Molecule: ribosomal RNA, 292 nt
Filed under: uncultured bacterium
Lineage: Bacteria
Description: partial 16S ribosomal RNA
Rfam family: Bacterial small subunit ribosomal RNA
Source: RNAcentral